Small nucleolar RNA from Drosophila suzukii, 138 nucleotides. RefSeq annotates it as small nucleolar RNA psi18S-841/snoR66. NCBI's taxonomy places the organism in Eukaryota, Metazoa, Arthropoda, Insecta, Diptera, Drosophilidae. The record is from RefSeq and is a predicted model, not a curated record.
GGCAAAUGCACUCUGUGUCAUAUGAAUUUAAGCCACAUAUGAUGACAAUUUGUUAGUUUGCUAAAUGAAAGAGAUGCGUCUUAUCCAUGUGAUUAAUGCCGAUCAGGCUGAUUACAUUGAAAACGCACCUUACACCAU